Oryzias melastigma (Indian medaka) is the source of this 1418-nucleotide long non-coding RNA. RefSeq lists it as uncharacterized. NCBI's taxonomy places the organism in Eukaryota, Metazoa, Chordata, Actinopteri, Beloniformes, Adrianichthyidae. The record is from RefSeq and is a predicted model, not a curated record. The transcript is spliced from 2 exons.
UAACCAGCCCAUGCUACAUCAACAGCCCAGGAAAAUGGCCUUACUCUGAACUGACCCAGAAUUCCUCUAUAUUAUAAAGGUGGACGUCAAAACGCAAACGUUUAAUAAUGCAUGUUAUGGUCAGUGUAUUAUGAGGUCAUGAUGACCAACGCCGCCUUGCAUCAAUCCGUUUCGCGGGACACAAGAAGCACUGUCGUUGUGACAGGAGACAACACACCGGCUCAGGCUAACAGGCUAACGCCGCUGACUCCAGUCAGGUGCUCGGAACCAGCAGAUGUUACUCCGUAACAGCGGUAGAAAUCUCAGGCUUAAGGUCCAGCUGUGCCUGCGCGCAGGGCGAUAAGAUGGCCAGAAGUGUUUCCUCUCUCCAGCUAAUGUUAGCCGGCUCUCUCUGAGGGCUGCGGGCUAAUCUUCCAACACCGGGGAUACUCACCUACCGACAGCGGGAGAAGAAAAGGCGCCGGGAUGCUGUUUAUCUCUCCAUCUGUCCGGGACCCAACCGAUACUAAAACGCAGACUAAACUGAGUCCAAGUGGGAAAAAUAAAGCAAUUAAAGUAAUUCUAAAAGCGGCUACACGACAGAGACCACUUCCAAGAUGGCGGUUCCAUCAACUUCAACGUCCCCCUCCCCCACAGCGGUGCAACGUUUGGCCCUCAUGGUGCGUUUCGGUGCCACUCCAAAAAUGCAAAUGCCAUAAUUCCCGGCAAAAAAAAAUAAAAAUACCCGAGGAGCGUUUCUGACCCAGAAAGAAGAAAAAUCUUCACUAACAGGCACCUAAGGGCCCAUCAUGGCAUUCCUACGCGUAAAAGACAGUUGCAAAUAUUUACAGUUACUUGACGCUUGUCUUGAAGAAAAUAGCCAUUUCAUGUUUCAUGAAUAUACGCAAUGUUAAAUGCUGAAACUAUAGCUUAAGACGGAGUUAUUACAUGACAGCAAUGGGUAUUAAAUCUGCGGCCACCCCUCUAGCUAGCCUUAAAUUGCGUCAUUUUUGAGUUUUGAAGGAGAAUUUACGAGGUUCAGUGAACGCAUCUGCAAACUCUUCAAACAUCACCAUUGGCUGCAGUCUUAUCGCUCAAACAAGAUCUUGAUGUUUUAUUGGACACGAAGCAGAUCAUCACAGCGUCAGCAGAGCAUAGGGCAACGUCCUGUCGCUUUGCGGACGCUGAACAUCCAAACAAUAAACAUUAAAUAGGAGUGUUCAUGCUGGAGCUGCAGCACAGAUAGGAUUUAAAUCGAAAGUUGGUACGAAUAAAUACAAAUCCUCUAAAGAUGGGGUUUAAAAAAUGAUAUUAAUUUUAGUUUUAGUUUUUAGUUUUAUGAGGAUUAUUUUCAUCUGCAGUCAUAGUUUUUAUAUGGCUGGUUUUGUGGUCCAAGCCUAAAUCCUCUGUAACUGAGAUGACCUCACUAACUGUAUAUC